UGAGGAACAUGACCUUCGGCGGGGGAUAGCCGGCCCAACGGCCGGGUAAUACCGCGUACGACCACAUGGGGACAUCCCUGAGUGGUGAAAGCAGCAAUGCGCCGAUGGAGUGCCUCGCGGCCUAUCAGCUAGUUGGUGAGGUAACGGCUCACCAAGGCGACGACGGGUAGCUGGUCUGAGAGGAUGGCCAGCCACAUUGGGACUGAGACACGGCCCAGACCUCUAACCGGGGAGG
Molecule: ribosomal RNA, 235 nt
Filed under: uncultured bacterium
Lineage: Bacteria
Description: partial 16S ribosomal RNA
Rfam family: Bacterial small subunit ribosomal RNA
Source: RNAcentral